AGCUUUGCACAGUGGCAGUAUCGUAGCCUAUGAGGUUUAUCUGAGGCAUGAUUAUUGCUAAUUGAAAAUUUUUCCCAGAGAG
RNAcentral lists this small nuclear RNA (82 nucleotides) under Tupaia belangeri (northern tree shrew). RNAcentral's name for it is "U4 spliceosomal RNA (ENSTBEG00000019296.1)". It matches the Rfam family "U4 spliceosomal RNA". Rfam says of the family: U4 small nuclear RNA (U4 snRNA) is a component of the major U2-dependent spliceosome. The structure of U4 snRNA from yeast and human has been reported. U4 snRNA presents a k-turn RNA motif in the 5p-SL related to recognition of Snu13 protein. Lineage: Eukaryota; Metazoa; Chordata; Mammalia; Scandentia; Tupaiidae. The record is from RNAcentral.